CUAUUUUUUUGAACAAGUGGGCGGUGUGAGUUUAUACUUCCUUUGCCUUACCACUAGAAACUGUUUAUCAUGUAAACAGGCCUUGUUUUUUAAAAGCCAAUUUUUUAAAAACAAAGAGGUAUUCGCAUUCCUCAGAAACGUUUGAGGAUGUCAUAAUAUAUGAAAAAGGUCUGUGUAAACCAUAAAAACAUGCAAGCCAGCAUCAGUAGACAUGACUGUGCAUGCUCUGAAGGAUGCAAUUAAAGGGACAGGUCACUCAAAAAUGACACUGAGUCAUUCUCAUGGUUUCCAAACCUGAAUGACUUCAGAGACUUCAAAAAGAGACUUCAGGUAGAAUAUUAUCGACUGACAGUCAGCAUUCACUUCCAUUGUAUCUUAUGCCAUUCAAUGAAAGAUGAAUGGAGACUGGGACUCAUCUCAUUUCGUGUUUCACAGCAAAAAGAAACUCAUACAGGUUUCGAACAACAUGAAGACGAGUCAAUAAUGACGACGUUCUAAUUUUUGUGCCAUCCUUCUGAAAUACACACGCGCGCGAGCGCCCAGGUGCUUCAUUUCAGGAUCACAGGCAGGGGAACCGAAACGGUCAGCAGUGCUUCCAGGAAGCGUCACCGGGGAGCACGCGCGCCGACAGACAGAGGAAUGCAGCAGCGUCCGCGACUCUCCGUCAGGCAGCCGCGAAACUAGAAGGUUCGCAGGCAGCGUGCGUGGCUCGGAGUGCGCGACGGGGUUUUUAUUUUACCGCUGUCGGCGCGAGCUGCUGCUGACGCGAUGCUUUAGCCAUGGACAGCAGGUUAAACGAGAAUCCUGCGAGAACCUUUGAUUUGGCUCUUCAGGUUGCAUGUCCAUCAUCUGAACAUGAAGAUCCGACAGUGCUGUGGAAGUUCCCUCAGGACUUUGGAGACCAGGAGGUCCUGCAGACAGUGCCUAAGUUCUGCUUUCCAUUUGAUGUUGAAAGGGUGUGCCAGACUCAGGUGGGCCAGAACUUCACAUUUGUGCUCACAGACAUUGAGAGCAAGCAGAGGUUUGGGUUCUGUCGGCUCACGUCCGGCUGCAGGGUCUGCAUCUGUUUGCUCAGCUAUCUCCCCUGGUUUGAGAUUUAUUAUAAGCUGCUAAAUACCCUUGCAGACUACUUGUCAAAACACCAGGAAGAUGACUUAAACGACAUGUUGGAAACGCUGCACAACCACCCCUUGCCAAAGCCGUAUACGGCAGUAAAUCUGAGUGUGCAUUCAUACUUCAUAGCUCCUGAUAUUAAUGGGCUCCCCACCAUACCUGAAAAUAGAAAUUUAACUGAGUACUUUGUCGCAGUGGAUGUGAACAACAUGUUGCACCUCUACGCCAGCAUGCUGCAUGAGCGACGCAUCAUCAUUACCUCAAGCAAGCUUAGCACUUUAACUGCAUGCGUGCAUGGGUCCACUGCCAUGCUCUACCCUAUGCACUGGCAACACAUCUUCAUCCCUGUACUUCCUCCUCACCUGCUGGAUUACUGCUGUGCGCCCAUGCCAUAUCUGGUCGGAGUUCAUCUCAGCCUUUUAGAGGUACGUCAAAUAAAUCUACUGUCAGCAGCCGUCUCCAGUCUGAAGAGUAAGCUGAAGAAGCAGUCGACUGCUACAGGAAGUGGGGUUGCUCGGGCCUUUCUGCAUGCUCAGGCUGCGCUGUUUGGCUCCUAUCGGGACGCCCUGAGAUAUAAACCUGUAAGACUCACAAAAUAUCACCUUACCAUCACAUUAGGACCUUUCGUACCACUUUAA
This is a long non-coding RNA of Cyprinus carpio (common carp), 1751 nucleotides long. NCBI's taxonomy places the organism in Eukaryota, Metazoa, Chordata, Actinopteri, Cypriniformes, Cyprinidae. The record is from Ensembl.